GGUCAAGCAGCUCAAGCCAUUUAUUCAGACCCGAGUGACAAUGAGGAGGCAGAGUGACGAGGAAGUCUGGAUGAAGAGAGUUCCAAGAAGGAAGAGCAAUUGCAAAGUACUUGAACAUGCUUGGCUAGUUCAGGGGACAGAAAGAAGGUCCUAAGGAGGAGAGAUGGAAGCAGAUGCUGGGUGAAGUUGGAGAGAUAGAUGCUAUGAGCCUAAGGCUAAAUCGGUAGCUUCUCAAGAGGAAAUGUGAUGAGCAGCAUGGCGCACGUUGAGGAAGUGUGGCGAGCAGCAUGGCGCAUGUUUUACGUCCUCAUAUUCCCCUCGGAGCCACCUUCCUCUCAGCUUCUGUCUGCCCACUGAGCUUGUGUCAGGAGCCCAGGUUCUCAUGAUCUACCUUCUCCUGUGUCCACAUCACAAGGCGUGGACGCCAAGGCUGACCUGGAUCAUCUCUGAGGGCCCCAUGCUCACCAGCUGGGUAGUCAUGGACAUGUUAAUUAACCUCCUCAGUGUCUUCAUCAAACCUGACGAAGGAACAGCAUUUAUUUCCUCCAGGGGAAGCAUGACGCUGGAACAACAGAAUGCUCAUAAAACCCUUAGCACAGUGACUGCCUAGAAUGAGCUGCUAUUAAAGCCACUUCUGUGCUACUGUGUUGGAAACAAAGACACACAUUACUAAAGACUCUGAUGUCGGAGGCCACAGAACAUGGAGGAGAAAACCAACCCUUUGGCCCUCACUCUCUGCAUCUGUAAAAUGGGAUCAUACCUGGUUGCCAAUGUCCCAGGCUGCUGAGGGUCAAACGAGGUGAUUUAUGCACCAAGCACUGUCUAUUGUAAACACCCGUGAGCCUCUUAGGUGCAGAGUGUGGGUGGGCCCUGGUAUGGUGGGAUACAGCUGCUCUCUCCAGGAUCUGCCUUUCCCAGGCCUGGGAGCUCCAUGAGGGCAGGACCGUGUCUGCUUUUGAUCAAUCAAGUGCUGGAUAUUCCAUGGGCUCUCAAUCGAUACCGUAAGGUGAACGAAGGAGAAGGGACAAUGGCAGGGGAUGUCAGGGAACUUUCCACAGGUAGAUGAUGUACCACGGACUUGGAGGCAGCAGGUCCUGACUUACAGGAUCAGAGAUAAGAUAAAAAAAUCUGCUCAAGGGCUGGGCAUGGUGACUUACACCUGCAGUCCCAGCACUUUGGGAGGCCACGGUGGGAGGAUCACUUGAGGUCAGGAGUUCAAGACCAGCCUGGGCAGCAUAGUGAGAACUGAUCUCUUCUAAAAAAUUUUAAAAUGUUAACAAAAAAUUAGCCAGGUGUGGUGAUGCAUGCCUGUAGUCCCAACUACUUGGGAGGCUGAGAUGGGAGGAUGGCCUGAGCCCAGGAGGUCAAGGUUACAGUGAGCUAUGAUUGCACCACUGCACUCCAGCCUGGGUGACACAGCGAGAUCUUGUCUCAAAAAAAAAAAAAAAAAAAA
Molecule: long non-coding RNA, 1453 nt
Organism: Homo sapiens (human)
Lineage: Eukaryota; Metazoa; Chordata; Mammalia; Primates; Hominidae
Source: Ensembl